GAUGAAGAACGCAGCAAAAUGCGAUAAGUAAUGUGAAUUGCAGAAUUCAGUGAAUCAUCGAAUCUUUGAACGCACAUUGCGCCCGCCAGUAUUCUGGCGGGCAUGCCUGUUCGAGCGUCAUUUCAACCCUCAAGCCCUCGGGUUUGGUGUUGGGGAUCGGCGAGCCUUUCUGGCAAGCCGGCCCCGAAAUCUAGUGGCGGUCUCGCUGCAGCCUCCAUUGCGUAGUAGUAAAACCCUCGCAACUGGAACGCGGCGCGGCCAAGCCGUUAAACCCCCAACUUCUGAAUGUUGACCUCGGAUCAGGUAGGAAUGCCCGCUGAACUUAAGCAUAUCAAUAAGCGGAGGA
RNAcentral lists this unclassified non-coding RNA (346 nucleotides) under soil metagenome. RNAcentral's name for it is "partial contains 5.8S ribosomal RNA, internal transcribed spacer 2, and large subunit ribosomal RNA". The stretch from base 1 to 120 matches the Rfam family "5.8S ribosomal RNA", at positions 35 to 154 of the family's 154-position model. The record is from RNAcentral.